RNAcentral lists this non-coding RNA (45 nucleotides) under Schistosoma margrebowiei. The record is from RNAcentral. Lineage: Eukaryota; Metazoa; Platyhelminthes; Trematoda; Strigeidida; Schistosomatidae.
AUCUAGCUAAUGAGUCCCAAAUAAGACCAAACGUGCGUCCUGGAU